Molecule: ribosomal RNA, 510 nt
Filed under: uncultured bacterium
Lineage: Bacteria
Description: partial 16S ribosomal RNA
Rfam family: Bacterial small subunit ribosomal RNA
Source: RNAcentral
GACGAACGCUGGCGGCGUGCUUAACACAUGCAAGUCGAACGAAGAGCGAUGGAAGCUUGCUUCUAUCAAUCUUAGUGGCGAACGGGUGAGUAACGCGUAAUCAACCUGCCCUUCAGAGGGGGACAACAGUAGGAAACGACUGCUAAUACCGCAUACGAUCUAAUCUCGGCAUCGAGGAUAGAUGAAAGGUGGCCUCGACAUGUAAGCUAUCACUGAAGGAGGGGAGUGCGUCUGAUUAGCGAGUUGGAGGGGUAACGGCCCACCAAGGCGAUGAUCAGUAGCCGGUCUGAGAGGAUGCACGGCCCCAUUGGGACUGCGACACGGCCCAGACUCCUACGGGAGGCAGCAGUGGGGAAUCUUCCGCAAUGGACGAAAGUCUGACGGAGCAACGCCGCGUGAGUGAUGACGGCCUUCGGGUUGUAAAGCUCUGUUAAUCGGGACGAAAGGCCUUCUUGCGAAUAGUGAGAAGGAUUGACGGUACCGGAAGAGAAAGCCACGGCUAACUACGUG